GCCUGGGUGGCGGAAUUGGUAGACGCACAGGACUUAAAAUCCUGCGGGUGGUUGCACCCGUGCCGGUUCGACUCCGGCCCUAGGUAC
RNAcentral lists this transfer RNA (87 nucleotides) under Dolosigranulum pigrum. Its description in RNAcentral is "tRNA-Leu(taa)". It matches the Rfam family "tRNA". From Rfam's summary of the family: Transfer RNA (tRNA) molecules are approximately 80 nucleotides in length. Their secondary structure includes four short double-helical elements and three loops (D, anti-codon, and T loops). Lineage: Bacteria; Bacillati; Bacillota; Bacilli; Lactobacillales; Carnobacteriaceae. The record is from RNAcentral.